Molecule: ribosomal RNA, 245 nt
Filed under: uncultured Eubacteriales bacterium
Lineage: Bacteria; Bacillati; Bacillota; Clostridia; Eubacteriales
Description: uncultured Clostridiales bacterium partial 16S ribosomal RNA
Rfam family: Bacterial small subunit ribosomal RNA
Source: RNAcentral
UACGUAGGGGGCGAGCGUUGUCCGGAAUGACUGGGCGUAAAGGGCGCGUAGGCGGCCGAUUAAGUAUGGAGUGAAAGUCCGUUUUUCAAGGACGGAAUUGCUUUGUAGACUGGUUGGCUUGAGUGCGGAAGAGGUAAGUGGAAUUCCCAGUGUAGCGGUGAAAUGCGUAGAGAUUGGGAGGAACACCAGUGGCGAAGGCGACUUACUGGGCCGUAACUGACGCUGAGGCGCGAAAGCGUGGGGAG